AAGGUUUUAGCUUAAUUAAAGUAUCUGAGUUGCAUUCAGAGGAUGUGGGAUAGAAUCCUGCAAAUCUUA
This 69-nucleotide transfer RNA is filed under the name Anoxypristis cuspidata (knifetooth sawfish). RNAcentral describes it as "tRNA-Ala". It matches the Rfam family "tRNA". From Rfam's summary of the family: Transfer RNA (tRNA) molecules are approximately 80 nucleotides in length. Lineage: Eukaryota; Metazoa; Chordata; Chondrichthyes; Rhinopristiformes; Pristidae. The record is from RNAcentral.